UUGAGAUUUUAACACGAAGUGAGUGGCGAACGGGUGAGUAACACGUGGGUAACCUGCCCAGAAGUAGGGGAUAACACCUGGAAACAGAUGCUAAUACCGUAUAACAGAGAAAACCGCAUGGUUUUCUUUUAAAAGAUGGCUCUGCUAUCACUUCUGGAUGGACCCGCGGCGUAUUAGCUAGUUGGUGAGGUAAAGGCUCACCAAGGCAGUGAUACGUAGCCGACCUGAGAGGGUAAUCGGCCACAUUGGGACUGAGACACGGCCCAGACUCCUACGGGAGGCAGCAGUAGGGAAUCUUCCACAAUGGACGCAAGUCUGAUGGAGCAACGCCGCGUGAGUGAAGAAGGGUUUCGGCUCGUAAAGCUCUGUUGUUAAAGAAGAACGUGGGUA
RNAcentral lists this ribosomal RNA (390 nucleotides) under Pediococcus pentosaceus. RNAcentral describes it as "bacterial SSU rRNA". It matches the Rfam family "Bacterial small subunit ribosomal RNA", at positions 72 to 457 of the family's 1533-position model. The record is from RNAcentral. Lineage: Bacteria; Bacillati; Bacillota; Bacilli; Lactobacillales; Lactobacillaceae.